AACGAAGCAACGUCAGCAGUAGCUGGAACAGUAUUAAUCCAGACACCACGCCACCACCGACCCCUCGAGUGUACGCAGCCCAGUGUCCGUCUGUGUCUUGUCGUGGGCGUGACGUUCAGCAGCGGCAGGAACAGCAACGGGAAGCUUGAUCUACGCGUUGACGAUCCAAAGGCCUGACUCCACAGCGGUAAUGAGCCUCGUCUACCUUGCACUUUGACGGACAACGCUCACUACCAACACUUCUAGAAGCCUCCGCCACCGCCGUAAGAUUGCAUCGCGCACACGGUCUACUCUUAACGACCGCCACCGCCGCUGCCGCCGUUGAGGGAGAUGGCUGGAUGAGUGGGUGAUAGAGGCGAGGCAGGUGUGGUGAGGCGGAGGAUUGGAGACGAGAACCUACAGAUGACGGCAGACACGGAAGAUUCCACUAACCAGGAGUUGGUGAUCCGAAGCCGUGACUGCAGCGAUCCCGUGCGUCCUGCACCAUCAAGGGAAGGACUCUGGCUUCGCACUGCGCCUACAUUGACCGUUGCCGCCGCCGCUGCUACCGCUACUCGGAGGGGCACUGCCUCGCAUUGGGCCUUCACUGCCGUCCCGCUAAUACACGUGUCGCCGUCGCAGCUACUGGCACUGAGGGACUUCGCCUCUCAGCGGCCUGGCAAACACCUGCUACACCACCACCACUAACUCCACCACCGCAGUCCAGAGAUUCAGCUUCGCAUAGCAGACAUCCUCCUAUUCAACGCUUGCUGCCACUACCACCUCAUUAUGGUGGUGUCACUGUACUUGGAUCUGUUGUCACUACUGAAUAAUAAUGUGUAAAGAAA
This 827-nucleotide long non-coding RNA is filed under the name Portunus trituberculatus (swimming crab). Its description in RNAcentral is "uncharacterized LOC123502302, transcript variant X2". The record is from RNAcentral. Lineage: Eukaryota; Metazoa; Arthropoda; Malacostraca; Decapoda; Portunidae.